GUCAAACUCUCAUGCUUUCUCCCCAACGAGGAAAUGGUGUUUGGUACCAGAUUCAUUCAGAACAGGAACAGCAUAUUCACACUCUACCUGUCUGUCUCUUCUUACUCAGGGUCUCCACUGUUCUCUCUCUUCUCUCUCUCCCCACCCCCCCAACUUGCAUUCAAGUUUACUCCAGGGUAAAAUGUGCAAAAAAAGCUUCAUUAUAAGGUGAUGUCACCUACAACAUGAUCCUGUGGCAGAGACCCCAAGAGAGGCAAGGAAAACUUGCAUUUUGAAAGAAGAUUCCAAUCAAGGAUGCAUCUUGACCUCAUUAGAAUUUUCACAUGGAAGGAAUUACACAUGGAAAGCCCAUUCUGGAGUCAGAUCGGUUGGUGAGAUCGCCAUUUGAUUCUUCUUCAGUUUUAACACCUGUGCCAUGAGAAGAAGAAUGAACUAGCACAGUGCCUGGCACAUGGAAGGACUGAACAAAUACUGCUAAAAGGAUGAAUGAAGCUGGAGUUAUUUAGACCCAGAGUACUGUUAUUUCUUAGAACAGUUGAGGAAGACCUGAGGUUACCUCAGCCCUCUCAAGUGGCAGCAAUGAAUAAUUUGAAGAGGAGCAGGUUAGGAGUUAUAUGAACCUGGGCAUUUAACGUCAACUUCCUAGGUCUGCAUUUCCUCAUGUGAAAAGGCAAAGAUAUGCCAUGAAGUAGGCAAGAUCAAACUAAAUGCGUCAAAGAAUUCACCUAUGGAAAUCUUUGCAAGAAAUAAUCCAUCAACCUGUGCGAUAGUCAGGCUCUUAAAGCCAGGGUGACUCGCUGCAUACAAAACCACAACUGAUGUCGAAUUCAAAUCAGCCUAAUACCAGGUACUCUCAAACAAUGAAAGAAAUGGAAGAUAAGGAGAAUUUGAUUCAGAAUUAACUGAGGAAAUAGAUGUUCUCGUAUUAAGAACUGUUCCUCGUUAUCACCAUCAAAAUAUUCUUGUCAUCAAGGAAGAUGACA
RNAcentral lists this long non-coding RNA (983 nucleotides) under Equus caballus (horse). RNAcentral describes it as "lncRNA (ENSECAG00000058773.1)". The record is from RNAcentral. Lineage: Eukaryota; Metazoa; Chordata; Mammalia; Perissodactyla; Equidae.